This 272-nucleotide long non-coding RNA is filed under the name Nicotiana benthamiana. Its description in RNAcentral is "long non-coding RNA (NBEN_LNC037817)". The record is from RNAcentral. Lineage: Eukaryota; Viridiplantae; Streptophyta; Magnoliopsida; Solanales; Solanaceae.
GCCGACCACCAACAAUCUCCAGCCGCUCGCAGCUCCUCACCGGGGCAUCGGGACCCUUCCUCCGAACAUGCCCGAACCACCUCAGCCUCGCUUCUCGCAUCUUCUCAUCUACUGGGGCCACCUCUACCUUCUCUCGAAUAACCUCGUUCCUAAUCUCAUCUAGUCUGGUGUGCCCGCACAUCCACCUAAGCAUCCUCAUCUCCGCGACCUUCAUUCUCUGAACAUGAGAGUUCUUCACGGGCCAGCACUCCGCCCCAUAUAGCAUCGCAGGU